UGGCUCAGGCUGAACGCUGGCGGCGUGCUUAACACAUGCAAGUCGAACGGAGUUUUUAAACGGAAGUUCUCGGAUGGAAGUUUAAGAACUUAGUGGCGGACGGGUGAGUAACGCGUGGGUAACCUGCCUCAUACAGGGGGAUAACAGUUAGAAAUGACUGCUAACACCGCAUAAUAUAGUGAAACCGCAUGAUUUUUGCUAUCAAAUAUUUAUAGGUAUGAGAUGGGCCCGCGUCUGAUUAGCUAGUUGGUGGGGUAAAAGCCUACCAAGGCGACGAUCAGUAGCCGGCUUGAGAGAGUGACCGGCCACAUUGGGACUGAGACACGGCCCAAACUCCUACGGGAGGCAGCAGUGGGGAAUAUUGGACAAUGGGGGAAACCCUGAUCCAGCGAACCGCCGCGUGAGUGAAGAAGUAUUUCGGUAUGUAAAGCUCUAUCAGCAGGGAAGAUAAUGACAGUACCUGACUAAGAAGCCCCGGCUAACUACGUGCCAGCCGCAGC
This 500-nucleotide ribosomal RNA is filed under the name uncultured bacterium. Its description in RNAcentral is "bacterial SSU rRNA". It matches the Rfam family "Bacterial small subunit ribosomal RNA", at positions 20 to 518 of the family's 1533-position model. The record is from RNAcentral.